This 389-nucleotide ribosomal RNA is filed under the name uncultured bacterium. RNAcentral's name for it is "bacterial SSU rRNA". It matches the Rfam family "Bacterial small subunit ribosomal RNA", at positions 29 to 417 of the family's 1533-position model. The record is from RNAcentral.
AUUGAACGCUGGCGGCAUGCCUUACACAUGCAAGUCGAACGGCAGCACGGGGGCGAACCCUCGUGGCGAGUGGCGAACGGGUGAGUAAUACAUCGGAACGUGCCCGACUAGUGGGGGAGUAGCUCGGCGAAAGCCGGAUUAAUAUCGCAUACGACCUACGGGUGAAAGCGGGGAGUCGCAAGACCUCGCGCUAUCAGAGCGGCCGAUGUCAGAUUAGGUUGUUGGUGGGGAAAGGCCGUACCAAGCCGACGAUCUGUAGCUGUCUGAGAGGACGACCAGCCACACUGGGACUGAGACACGGCCCAGACUCCUACGGGAGGCAGCAGUGGGGAAUUUUGGACAAUGGGCGAAAGCCUGAUCCAGCCAUGCCGCGUGCGGGAAGAAGGCCU